UACGAAGGGGGCUAGCGUUGUUCGGAAUUACUGGGCGUAAAGGGCGCGUAGGCGGUCUUGUAAGUCAGAUGUGAAAGCCCCGGGCUCAACCCGGGAAUAGCAUUUGAUACUGCGAGGCUUGAGUCCGGGAGAGGAUGGCGGAAUUCCCAGUGUAGAGGUGAAAUUCGUAGAUAUUGGGAAGAACACCGGUGGCGAAGGCGGCCAUCUGGACCGGUACUGACGCUGAGGCGCGAAAGCGUGGUGAGCAAACAGG
RNAcentral lists this ribosomal RNA (253 nucleotides) under uncultured bacterium. Its description in RNAcentral is "partial 16S ribosomal RNA". It matches the Rfam family "Bacterial small subunit ribosomal RNA", at positions 524 to 776 of the family's 1533-position model. The record is from RNAcentral.